This 484-nucleotide ribosomal RNA is filed under the name uncultured bacterium. RNAcentral describes it as "partial 16S ribosomal RNA". It matches the Rfam family "Bacterial small subunit ribosomal RNA", at positions 29 to 507 of the family's 1533-position model. The record is from RNAcentral.
AUUGAACGCUGGCGGCAUGCUUUACACAUGCAAGUCGAACGGCAGCGCGGGCUUCGGCCUGGCGGCGAGUGGCGAACGGGUGAGUAAUGCAUCGGAACGUGCCCAGUAGUGGGGGAUAGCCCGGCGAAAGCCGGAUUAAUACCGCAUACGACCUGAGGGUGAAAGCGGGGGACCGAAAGGCCUCGCGCUAUUGGAGCGGCCGAUGUCGGAUUAGCUAGUUGGUGGGGUAAAGGCUUACCAAGGCGACGAUCCGUAGCUGGUCUGAGAGGACGACCAGCCACACUGGGACUGAGACACGGCCCAGACUCCUACGGGAGGCAGCAGUGGGGAAUUUUGGACAAAGGGGGCAACCCUGAUCCAGCUAUGCCGCGUGCGGGAAGAAGGCCUUCGGGUUGUAAACCGCUUUUGUUCGGGAAGAAAUCCUCUGGGCUAAUACCCCGGGGGGAUGACGGUACCGGAAGAAUAAGCACCGGCUAACUACGUG